Microcebus murinus (gray mouse lemur) is the source of this 1012-nucleotide non-coding RNA. The record is from RefSeq and is a predicted model, not a curated record. NCBI's taxonomy places the organism in Eukaryota, Metazoa, Chordata, Mammalia, Primates, Cheirogaleidae.
CCCCCCAGCCCCCACCAGAAUCUGAAAUCCCAGCAGCCAGCACCUCCAGAAAGGCUGGGGGGGCAGAGGGGGGGCAGAGUAGGAGAGAGGAGGGAGUUGGGCACCCCCACAUUAAAUGCCCCAGGCCCUCGUCUCUCCACCUCAGACCCAGGGCCUGAAAAUACUCGCUCUCACCUGCAGGAAAGGGGAAGGUGGGACUAGAAACCAGUGCUCCAGCCUUUCUCUCUUUCCCUCCAACCCCAGUUCUCAGCAACUUUGCCCAAAUACUUCCCAUGAUGCUCAAGAUGAAAGUCACAGCCCUUCGAACCACCAAGAGCCAAAUCCUCUCCCAGCCUUUCUCCCUCCUUGGUCCUCCUGUCAGCCACUGCAGCCCAGCAUUCUGCAAGGGUUGAAGGUUCUCUCCCCGCUCCUCACACCAAAAAAGUUGGCAGGAUUUACCCAACAGGAAGCCACUCCCCUGCCAGGGCCCAGCUCAUCCUCAGGAUAGCCACUUUUCCCCGAAAGUGGCAAAUGGAAGCCGGAUGGCCUCUCAGGGACCUCCUUUUGUGAUGAGGUGGCUACCAUGAGGCCCAGAGAGCCCAGCUCAAUGAGGAAAGCGUCCAGUUUGGGAGCCUUGAUCUGGUCACCCCUCGCAACCUAUGUAACCUUGAUCAAGCCCUUUAGACUUUUCUGAGCCUUAGUUUCCACAUCGAUAGAGUGAAUUAAUAUCUUCUCUAAAACAGGGUUGUGAGGCUCAAAGGAGAUGAUGGAAGUGAAGAACUUUGUGAAGGUCAAGGUGAAGAAGGUGCUGUCUCCAGACAGGCAGAGGAAAGUCCUCACCCCAUUUCUCAAGAACCAGAGAUGGAAAUACAAGUCUGCACUCACGGAGCCAAAACAUAAACAAGCAGCAGACCCAUGUGGGGGUCUGUCUCUGCAGGCACCGCCUUCCACCCCAGUAGAGUUCAGUGGCAUCAUCACAGCUCACAUCAUCACAGCUCACAGCUGCAACCUCAAACUCCUGGGCUCAAGUGAU